RNAcentral lists this ribosomal RNA (670 nucleotides) under Inocybe nitidiuscula. RNAcentral describes it as "eukaryotic LSU rRNA". It matches the Rfam family "Eukaryotic large subunit ribosomal RNA", at positions 1 to 652 of the family's 3401-position model. Lineage: Eukaryota; Fungi; Basidiomycota; Agaricomycetes; Agaricales; Inocybaceae. The record is from RNAcentral.
UUGACCUCAAAUCAGGUAGGACUACCCGCUGAACUUAAGCAUAUCAAUAAGCGGAGGAAAAGAAACUAACAAGGAUUCCCCUAGUAACUGCGAGUGAAGCGGGAAAAGCUCAAAUUUGAAAUCUGGCGGUUCUUGAUCGUCCGAGUUGUAAUCUAGAGAAGUGUUACCUGUGCUGGACCGUGUAAAAGUCUCCUGGAAUGGAGCAUCAUAGAGGGUGAGAAUCCCGUCUUUGACACGGACUGCCUGUACAUUAUGGUGCGCUCUCAAAGAGUCGAGUUGUUUGGGAAUGCAGCUCAAAAUGGGUGGUAAAUGCCAUCUAAAGCUAAAUAUUGGCGAGAGACCGAUAGCGAACAAGUACCGUGAGGGAAAGAUGAAAAGAACUUUGGAAAGAGAGUUAAACAGUACGUGAAAUUGCUGAAAGGGAAACGCUUGAAGUCAGUCACGUCGGCUAGAAAUCAGCCUUGCUCCUGCUUGGUGUACUUUCUGGUUGACGGGUCAGCAUCAGUUUUGGCCGCUGGAUAAAGUCUUUGGGAAUGUGGCAUCUUUGGAUGUGUUAUAGCCCAUUGUCGCAUACAGCGGUUGGGAUUGAGGAACUCAGCACGCCUGCAAAGGCCGGGUUUCGACCACGUUCGUGCUCAGGAUGCUGGCAUAAUGGCUUUAAUCGACCCGU